UGAGAUGGAACCAGAAUCUGCUUUGACGCCAGACUCAUCAGGAACCUCAGAAAGUGUAUCACAGAACUACCAUUUAGCUAUUAUUGGCCCCCCUCCACCUAUAAGGCCACCUCCUCAUCAUCCACCUCAUCCACCAGGUAAGAAGUUCAAUUUAGUUCAUUUAAAGAGAUUAAGUUGGAAAGGAACCACUUUCUGCAUCUAACAAACUCUCACUGCUCUUUAGGUCACCUGUCACAGCCACACCACUCUCAUAGAGGGGGAGGUAGACCCUGGGAGAGGUACGACCUGCCUGUGGGCUUUCUGAUCUAUUAAAAGUUUGUAUUGUAAUGUGUCCGUCUCACAAUGGUGUCCCUCUCUUUGUGUCAGGUUUUACAGAGGCAGAGGGGACCACCCCCCCACUCACCUCCAUACAGCUCCACCUCCACCUAUUCCUCCAGUGUAUCCAGCUCCGUCCAUGUACCCGCCCCCACCGCAGCCCUACCCCCCUCCGUACACCCCUGGGCCUGGCCUUCUCCCUCCUGUCAUGGGUUACCAGCCCCAGCCUGUGUAUGUCCCUGGACCACCAGGGCUCAACCCUCCCUGGGUUCCCCCUGGUACCCAGCCCCCUCUUAUGCCUCUUCCCCCCCUCCCUCAGCCCCCUCUCUCUAAAGAAGAUUUCUACAGACAGCGACACCGACAGGACAAAGUUACAUCCAAACUGGAUGAAUUUACUAAAGACUUCCACAAAGAGCUUAUGAAGUACAGAAAUGCACCAAAGAGACGAAGACCAUCUUAUUCGAGAUCAGCGGUCAUACAGUCGCUCUCCAUUCAGCCGCUCUCCCUACUCUCGCUCUAGAUCAAGAUCCAGGUCUUACUCUUAUUCUCCCAGUCGAUCCCGUUCACGCUCCCAUGGCCGGUCCUAUCCCCGCUCCCCUUAUUCAAGACGCAAUGGACGUAGUUAUGGACGCUCACGAUCACGGUCCCGCUCUCGUUCAAGGUCUUAUGGGUAUCGGCGCUCUGGCUCACCACGGUCUCCUCCCCCUUUCCGGCCAGGAGGCUGGGAGGGAGCAGAAGGAGCUGCACCCUACAGGUCACGGUCUCGCUCCCCUGGCCCUCCUGGCCCUCCUGGCUUUCGGCCCCGCAGCCCUGGUGGACGAAAGCCGCCUCCUCGGGAGCUCCCACCAUACGAACUGAAGGGUCCAAGUCCCGGUGGCAAUGAGCGCUGGGAAAGAGAAAGAUAUCGACAGUGGGAAAAGGAGUAUGAAGACUGGUACAACAAGUACUACAAAGGCUAUGACAACCAACAUCCCUCACUGCAUCACAGAGGUCGUGGCAGCAGAGACCGGGAGAGGGACAGAAUGUCCCCAUUAUCUAGAGAUUACUCCCCCCAAGGGAGAGGAAGAAGAGGGCGAGAAGAGAGGGGUGCUCCCCCUCACCAUCCUCAAUCCUCUUCCUCAUCGGGGAACAAGUCCAGCACUAAACUCCUCAAGACAAAGAAAGUAAAAAAGAGGAGAACUGGGGAGGAAUCGGAGUCAUCACAUCAGUCGGUAGACAGAGGUGAUGCUACUCCUGUCAGAGACGAACCAAUGGACGAAAUCCCUUCACUCGUCAAAACGCCUCCCAUGUCCUCAAAGGCUUCAGUUGGAGCCACGUCCUCUAAAGCUCCAGCCUCUAAAAGCACUGCUCCACCUGUCAAACCCUCAACCAAGUCAACAUCAAAGACUCAGUCUGAUAAGACGAAGAAAGACAAGGGUCAAAAGGUAAAAGCUAAAGUUAAGACGGAGGGCGUGAAGGUCAAGAGUGACAAGGUGAAGAAAAAGACUGUAGAAGGAAUCGUGACCAAAAAGAGAGACUCGUCCUCUUCCUCCUCUUCUACCACGAAACCUUUGAAGACAAUUAAAACCAAACCAGAAGAUGCCCCCAACCCAACUACCCCUAAAAAGGAUAAGGGUAAAAGUUCUGCAGUAAGGCCUGCCCUGCUUAAGACCCCUCCACUGUCCUCACAGAACCUUUCUCUGCAUCAUCAUCCCUCUCUUCAUGACGGCCCGCGACCCAGCCACGACAUCCGGGGGAGAAGAGAUCUUCCACAGGGCGGUGGUCUCCUUCCCCUCCCCCAUCCACACGGACUCCCACUCCUCCACCGACCUUCCUCCCCCGACAGUCGGCGGAGGAUGGGAGAGGAGGGCCGCUCUUUACUCGGACCUCCUCCUGGAAAGCUGAGGAGAAUGGAUGGGCUAGGGGGUGGCGUUGAUGUCAUCGGCCACUCUCACAUGUCUCAUCAGCCCCCGCUCCACAGACUCCCACCUCCCUCAGACAGGCCCGGUCUUCUUCCCAUACCAGGGAGCCGUGAGAUGGGUCGGGGAGACGCAGAUCGAGGAUCCAUCCGACCUCUAAUGGACCUUCAGGUGAAGCCACUGACACAGAGGAGGAUCAAGUUGAACAGAGACCUGGGGAGAAAAGGCAGCACUGAGACGGCUCCUUCAGACAGAACACCGUCAGGUCCCGAGAAGACGACCUCCGCCUCGGAUCGAUCAGCUGCUGCUAACCACUCUGAAGGAGACCGACCCAGCAGUGCAGCAGAAGGUGCUGGAAGAAAGGAGCGGUCUGCAUCUGUAGAGAGGGGGAUCUCCAGAGAGAGACCAGGGAGUGCUGGAGAGAGACGGCAGAGCUCAGACAGAGAGCAGAGCAGAAGCUCGGGACUGGACAGAGAGCGAGACAGAGCUUCAGGAUCAGACAGAGACAGAGGCAUGGUGUCUGACAGAGAUCGGGAAAGGGUCUCAAGCUCACAGAAGAUGGCAGUUACAGUGGAGAGAGACCCUGAAGGAGAGAGGUCGGGGAGGACGGAGCGGAAGAAUUCCAGUGCAGCAGGGAGGUCUGUCUCUCUGGAUAAAAUGACCAUUGCAGAGAAAUCGUCUACCUCCAAGAGCUCGACAGACCCUCAGGAGAAGCCAAGCAUAUCCUCCAAGGAGAGGGCCGAAGGGUCAGAACGAUCGGCUAAAUCUGACAGGAGUGUGUCAAAGGACAGAACAGAGAAGAGUGUCCCUGCCGCAGAGAAACCAGCUGCUGCUCACCGAGAAGCAGUGAAAGACGACGAGGAGUCUGGUGGGAAGAGCAAAUCCAAGAUCAGCCGAAAGGUUCUGACGAGCCACACCGUGCCCUCCACUAGGUCAAAUCAAGAAACAAAGCGAGACUCGGACAAAGAUCAGAAGAGUGUAUCCUCCAAACCUGCAGAGCAGCCCCCAUCUAGUCCUGUGAACAGCCGUGGCCGCAGCCCGAGCGUCAGCCCCGCACCCAGCCCGGCCAGGGAGGAGCCACUCAUUCAGCCUCCUCCUCGCUCCAAGUGGGAGAGAGAAGAUGACGAGGAAGGCCAGGAAAACGGACUUAAUGCACCCAAGGAGCCCUCACCGGUGCCACAUAGGAGCCGAGGCAGAGAGGGGCAGACUGAAGCACCUAAACCUGUCCGGGGUGAAGGCCAGGAUGCUACAAGGGAGGAGAGGAGAGGUGUAGUGAGAGAAGAGAAGAAAGGGAGAGCACCGAGGGAGGAGGGUAAAGGUGGGAGGACGGCACAGACGAAUUCUGACAAACCAACCAAAAUAAAACUUGUGAGGGAGGAGGGGAGAGGAGGAAGAGGAAGAGAGGAAGGGAGAGCUGCCGCAAGAGAGGAGGGGAGAGGUGGAGGAAGAGAUGAGGGGCGAGGAGUGACGGGGAAGGAGGAGAGAGCGGCAGAAGGCAGAGGUGGAGGAGGACGCGAGGAGAGUCGUGGACCAGAGCCCAGGAGACAGCGCUUGUGUUCAGACCUGGGUCGUGAGACGGACGAGGCGGCUUUUGUGCCCGACUACAGCGAAGGCGAGGGCUCAGACAUGGAGAGAGGAAGGAGUGGCAGCCCCAGUCAGUCCCUCAGCCAACCCUCCACCCCCACCCUGAGCAACCACAGCGGCUCUGUGGCAACCAUCACCACGGGUGACAAGAAGAAGAAGAAACACAAGAAGCAUAAAAAACACAAGAAGCACAAGAAGCACACCGCCCAGGACAAAGAAGCAGAACAAAAGGAGCACAAGCACAAACACAAGAAGAAGAAACACAAAAAGAACAAAGACAAAGAUGUGGAGGAAGAGGAGGAGGAGGAGGAGAAGAUUGAGAAGAUUGAGAAGAUGGAGAAGAUGGAGAAAAUGGAGAAAGUAGUGGAAGGGGCUCCAUGCUAACAGGGGCUAGGCUAAGACUGUGGCCCAAAGUCUGUAACCUUCUUUGUUAAUAAGGAGAUAAUGAUGCGUCUGGAAAUAUCGGCUAACACUGGCAUGCUGCUCCAUGUGCCACUCUGAGGGAAAUGGAUGAAACAAGUCUUUGUCCAUGACUCUGGAGGGCUGUCUGGCUGUUACUCACUGCAGCAUUAUGACCGCUGCUGUGGUUUCUUCAAUGUUCAAUGUGAGACUCUUCUUUGUGACUGGGUCAGGCAAAACUCCAGAGUGACGCUGUGCUCUGCACUAUUGUGAUCAACCUAGAGCCAGCCAGAAAGGACUUUAUGGUAAUAACUGAUCACCGGGCAGUGAAUCUAAAUGAUAGGGAUGACAAACACUGUACUCAGGGAUGUGAUUGCUUCUUUGUAGAGGAGGAAUUGCUCUUUCUCUUUCUCUGAUUCAUUUGUAAAUAGAGAUGAACUGUUGCUUCACAUAAUAAUAAUUUUCCCUGUUUGUUUUGCUCACAUCCCUGUGUGCUGUUCAAGGCUGAAUAACCUUCAUUGCGAUGAGGGCAAUUGUUAGCUCUUUUUUUUUUUUUAAGGACUGUGCUUGUGGUUUUGCAUGUUUUAGCACAUUAAGAACAAAUCAUUACUUUCCAUUACUGCCGACCAUUUUCAAGCUCGACGGUCUCAUUUCAGACAGCCAGUGGUUUCUCUUUUGGUUCUCUAACUGAUGUAAAUUUAAAAUAAAGCCAAUGAAACGUUCUUUGAUAGGCUACCUAUCUAUGCGAGGUUAAUUCACUGUAAGUUGAUUUUCUUACCAAACGUAACAUUGAAUUCCAGUAGUUCUCUUUGGACAUGGUUAGCAUUAUAUUAUUUGUGAUGAUUGUGCUAAAACCGACGCAAUCCCCAGUAUGGUUCUUUUAAGUUAAAACAAACCUUUACGUAGCCAUGCUACACUGGAUUGUAUAAAUCUAGGAUGUGUUUAUUAAUAAUGUCAAAUCAGUCGGCAUGUUUUUGUUCCAAAGGUGCAGUAGCUGUCUAUCACGUUGUCUGAGUGAAUGUGUUGGUGUGAAAGUGAAAUAUGACAGAAGUGGGGCAAAUUGGAGGACUGGUGUUCUUACAAAUGACUUGUUACUUUUUUUUUUUUUAAUUAAAAAUGUUUUGACCUCAUGAAAUUGUCUUGAGUUGUUUUUUUUUUAAUCAAUGAUGGAACACCUUGUUGUGUAAUGACCACACACAUGAAG
Long non-coding RNA from Cottoperca gobio, 5400 nucleotides. NCBI's taxonomy places the organism in Eukaryota, Metazoa, Chordata, Actinopteri, Perciformes, Bovichtidae. The record is from Ensembl.